GGAACAAGCUUCACUGCUAUCUAUCAGCUCAGAUAAGGAAAAGUUCCUUUCAGCCUGACACUGACAGCUUAAUGAAAUGGAGGCCGAGAUGCAUGCAAAUGAGAGAAAGACUGGUAAGCUUUUACAGGAGAUGGAGAAUAAGAGGAAAAUACUGGGAAGAACUUCCUAUUACAUACUCCAGAUAGAACUGUGAGCAGGAAGUACUCAAAAUCUCAUGAGGAAAGCAGAACUAUAUGGCAUUUUCAUGGACUUCAAAGACUUCUCUGUGCUGCUUAGCCUGGAAACAUACCAACACAAUGUUAUGGUUGGUAGUCACUGAUUGUCUUCAUUGAUGGCUGCUGUACAAAAUUCUUAUGUAACAGCUUUGAUUUUUCAAAGGAGUAUUGACUAUUUAGAAGAUGUAUGUAAUUAAAGUAUAUCUGUGGAAUACCUAGGAUAAUAAGAGCCUUAAAUAUUAAGUCUAAGGUCCAGGUAAUAUUUUAUUUUUCUUCAUAACUUCAUAAUUUCAAAUGUUAAGCUUUCAAAUCUGGUUUCCCCAAUUAUAAAGUGUAAAGAAUAAAAUAUGCCACUUACAC
This is a long non-coding RNA of Mustela erminea (ermine), 575 nucleotides long. RefSeq lists it as uncharacterized. Lineage: Eukaryota; Metazoa; Chordata; Mammalia; Carnivora; Mustelidae. The record is from RefSeq and is a predicted model, not a curated record. The transcript is spliced from 3 exons.